AUGGAUUGGUUAUCGAAGUAUGAAGGGAAUAUUGAGUGCGCCAGUAAGUCACUUUUGCUUACAACGCCAGAAGGAAGAAGGAUCGAGUAUGUAUCCCGGCAUGUGCCAAAGAGGACUCAAGUAAAUUCCUUAACAGGAGUUGUGCAGGAGGAAGUACCAGUAGUAAAGGAUUACCCUGAUGUAUUUCCAGAGGAGUUGCCAGGCAUGCCACCGGAUAGAGAUAUUGAGUUUUUGGUUGAGCUUUUGCCAGGCACAGGGCCAAUAUCUAAGAGACCAUAUAGGAUGCCCGCAAAGGAUUUGGAGGGGAUUAAGAAGCAGAUUAAAGAAUUAUUGGAUAAGGGUUAUAUUCGCCCAAGUUCUUCACCUUGGGGAUCGCCGGUACUUCUAGUAGAGAAGAAGGAUGGAUCAUUAAGGAUGGUUGUUGAUUAUCGAGGAUUGAAUGAAGUAACCAUCAAGAACAAUUACCCACUACCGAUGAUCAAUGAUCUGUUUGAUCGAUUGCAAGGAGCUAAGGUAUUUUCCAAGAUCGAUCUGCGAUCAGGAUACCAUCAGCUAAAGAUUCAAGAACAGGAUAUACCUAAGAUGGCAUUUACCACCAGGUAUGGGCUGUAUGAGUAUACCGUUAUGUCAUUUGGUCUGACUAACGCACCUGCAUAUUUUAUGAACAUGAUGAACAAAGUGUUUAUGGAGUUUUUGGAUAAGUUCGGCGUAGUGUUCAUUGAUGAUAUCCUAGUUUACUUAAAGGAUGAAGAGGAGCAUAAGGAGCAUUUGCGUUUGGUACUUGGUAAGCUCAGAGAACAUCAGUUAUAUGCCAAGUUUAGCAAAUGUGAGUUUUGGUUGAAGGAAGUUGGAUUUCUCGGACACGUUAUAUCUGGAGAAGGUAUAGCAGUAGAUCCCACCAAGGUUGACACUGUGACAAAUUGGGAAGCCCCAACAACAGUUGGAUAG
Molecule: ribosomal RNA, 948 nt
Filed under: Triticum aestivum (bread wheat)
Lineage: Eukaryota; Viridiplantae; Streptophyta; Magnoliopsida; Poales; Poaceae
Description: partial small subunit ribosomal RNA
Source: RNAcentral